CGGCUGUCUUCCAGCAGGGCCGUGGAGCAGCACUGCAGGGCUCCUCAGCCCAUCCCAGCGUCCACCAUGCUGGGCCUAUGGGCAAAAAGAGCUCUAGGUCCAACAGAUAUUUGACCCUUUUUUCUGCACGUGCUGUCUUUGCUCAUUUAAAUCUGGGAGGGGGAGCAGUCUAGCAAGGGUUGUUCUUUUUCCCUCUCUGAUGCAUACAUACUGCAGAUAAGAGCCAGGAACAGGAAGCGGAGGGGUGAGGUGGCAAGUCAUUUACAUUGGAAAUAGAAGCUGAAUGUGCAUUUCCCCACUCUUGCCAUCAAUCACUCAGACUUCCUGUAUGCUGUGAAAUACAAGAGUGGAGUUUGCUUGCUCCCCACUUCCCCCAGGAAUGGAAAUGCUCAUUUGUUUCACUGUUGAGAAAUGCUGAUCACUCAAAGCAUUUUGUUUUCUAGAUGUGCUCCAUUCGGAAGCUGAACAUUUUGGCUUCCUCCUGUUUGGACUUCAGAAAUGUCUUAGGAUGUCCUGCAGGUGUGGGGAGUCACUCUGCUGGUGCUGUAGCUCUGUAAGGGAGGGAAAGGUGCUGCUGAAAUACAGAAGGGCCCCCAGCCAGUUGAGCAGAGACUUCAUUGCAGAGCACUGGCAAAUACUCUCUGUUCUCUGGUUGUUUUAACUUGUUUAUGUGAUCUCACACCCGAUAGAGUGCAGCGAGGGCCACGUCCUGCUUGUCAUUGGAAACCUGACAUGUGGGAAAGCAGGGCUAAGAGUCCUGGGCCAGGCCAAUGCAGUGACUCAAGAAGAAGCUGAAGUGCUCCUCAGGCCUUGUGAACUGACCGAAGCAACUGGCGAGGUUCAAAGUUUUAUUUCAGGGAAGGCAGGGUUACCUAGAGCCUGGGUGGGGGUUAAUCAAUGUACAUUCAUCAUUAAUUUAUGCAUGUAAGGGGCUUUGGAGCACAGUCGUCAUGCUGGUUUUGAUAACGCUAACUCUAUCCACCCUGCCAGCUGCUGUGAUGUCGUGGUAGUCUGUGUUGCUGCAUGCAGAAUUAUGGUGCUUUUGUGGGAAUAUUAUGUUCCUUGAAUAGAGCCCCACAGAGCAAUUUGCUUCAUCCUUACAAACCCAUCCAAAUAACUGGCAGUGCCUUACAAAUACAAAACAAUCGAGAAAAUAAAUGUAUUAUACUGUACAUCUGUGACAAAACAAUGCUUUCAUGUGCAAAGAGAAAUGUGUUUGUUUAACUUACGGUUUCCCAUUUGGAAAUAAA
This is a long non-coding RNA of Gallus gallus (chicken), 1250 nucleotides long. Lineage: Eukaryota; Metazoa; Chordata; Aves; Galliformes; Phasianidae. The record is from Ensembl.